RNAcentral lists this ribosomal RNA (250 nucleotides) under uncultured prokaryote. RNAcentral describes it as "partial 16S ribosomal RNA". It matches the Rfam family "Bacterial small subunit ribosomal RNA", at positions 524 to 773 of the family's 1533-position model. The record is from RNAcentral.
UACGUAGGGUCCAAGCAUUAUCCGGAUUGACUGGGUGUAAAGAGUUGCGUAGGUGGAUGUUUAAGUAGACAGUGAAAUCUGGUGGCUCAACCAUUCAGACUGUUGUCUAAACUGAAUAUCUCGAGACCGUUAGGGGUAACUGGAAUUUAGUGUAGGAGUGAAAUCCGUAGAUAUUAGAAAGAACACCGAUAGCGUAGGCAGGUUACUGGGACGGUUCUGACACUAAGGCACGAAAGCGUAGGGAGCAAAC